CCGGGCCCGGACGCUCCCGGUUCGGACGCUCCGGGCCUUCCGGGUCCGGGGUCUUCGGGUCUUCCGGGUCCGGGGUCUUCGGGUCUUCCGGGUCCGGG
This 98-nucleotide transfer RNA is filed under the name Streptomyces hygroscopicus subsp. hygroscopicus. Its description in RNAcentral is "tRNA-Gly". The record is from RNAcentral. Lineage: Bacteria; Bacillati; Actinomycetota; Actinomycetes; Kitasatosporales; Streptomycetaceae.